RNAcentral lists this ribosomal RNA (601 nucleotides) under uncultured bacterium. RNAcentral describes it as "bacterial SSU rRNA". It matches the Rfam family "Bacterial small subunit ribosomal RNA", at positions 745 to 1350 of the family's 1533-position model. The record is from RNAcentral.
GCUAAUGCUCGAAAGUGCGGGUAUCGAACAGGAUUAGAUACCCUGGUAGUCCGCACGGUAAACGAUGGAUGCCCGCUGUUGGCGAUAUACUGUCAGCGGCCAAGCGAAAGCGUUAAGCAUCCCACCUGGGGAGUACGCCGGCAACGGUGAAACUCAAAGGAAUUGACGGGGGCCCGCACAAGCGGAGGAACAUGUGGUUUAAUUCGAUGAUACGCGAGGAACCUUACCCGGGCUUGAACUGCAGGAGAACGAUUCAGAGAUGAUGAGGUCCUUCGGGACUCCUGUGGAGGUGCUGCAUGGUUGUCGUCAGCUCGUGCCGUGAGGUGUCGGCUUAAGUGCCAUAACGAGCGCAACCCCUUUCAUCAGUUGCCAUCAGGUGAUGCUGGGCACUCUGGUGAUACUGCCACCGUAAGGUGUGAGGAAGGUGGGGAUGACGUCAAAUCAGCACGGCCCUUACGUCCGGGGCUACACACGUGUUACAAUGGGUGGUACAGAGAGUCAACCGCCGGCAACGUCGGUUUAAUCACUAAAGCCAUCCUCAGUUCGGAUUGGGGUCUGCAACCCGACCCCAUGAAGCUGGAUUCGCUAGUAAUCGCGCAUC